AAUUUGCCCACGAAGGACCGCUGCGCCACCUACCUGUUCAAGUGAGCACAGCACAACAACACAAAGAGGCAUACAUAUGCAAAUUGGUAUUGGUAUGUUAUGCAGAUCACAUUUACCAUCCUCCUUCCUUACCUCGUCAAUGAAUGUCCCAUAGGCCUCUACAUUAUGGACAAGACUUCACCCUCCCUACACCUCUGAUGAAUAUAACAGGAAAUCUGUUCGAUCACCAUGCACUGCAAUAUCCUUCUGGCUAUGGAUACAGAGAACAUCAACACAUUAACAUCAACACGCCAGAGGAAAUACCCAUUGGACAUGGGAUUCUGCUGGGAGUUGACCUCAUAUUUAGAUUUGUUUUUAUUCUGCUUUGCCACUAAAAUCAUAAUAAACACAGAACUAAAAUAUUGUGUUAUUGUUACAGUAUGCAUAUUAUUAAUAUUAAUAAUAAUAACAAGGGAGGGAGGGUAGUUAAAAAAUGUACCCCAAAAGGUUCUUUAAAAGGUAUGUCGAGGAUCCAUUAAAAGGGGUUCUUUGAAGGACCCUUUUAAAGGGUUCUUCGAAUAACUUAUAGUGAUUCCCCCACAUUUUCAAUUUGAAUAAUCCCUAAAGGAUACUCCAGGAACCUUUUCUAUUUAGAGUGCAUCUACCGUCAUUCCACCUGGAGCGUAAAGACAUAUCCAAGCUGGAGGCAAUAGGAAAUGUCAGGAAUAACUUUACCGGCUCUGAGAAACAAGCCCUUAAAUCUCCAGAAUUACACAUCUCUAGUCAUCCUCCCAGUGGACAAGGGAGGCGCUGUUACUGUACACGUCUACAUAGUCUAUAAGACUGAAGUACUCAGAUUGAUCAGACAUUCCAGAAGAGACAAACCCCACAACACAGCUUUUGGCUGUAGUCGAACAGACUGUCACUAAGGGCAUGCACAAUAGUGAUAUCACCAAAAGAGAACACAGUGAUAUCAGACAAGGUUUGGCAGAAGGCAUGAAGAUCUCUGCUCUGCUUCAAAUUUCCUGAAUGAUAAAUAUGCAUUUCUGAGUUGUAUAAUUAAAAACAGUAUCUUGUAGGAUUCAAUAAUUGGAAGUGUAAGAGUUGUUGCCUUGUCCCUUUCUCUGCAAUUGUCAUUCUAAUGGAAACAUUUACUGUACAUCGAAAGGUGCAAAGUUAUGGGCAAAGACACAAAAACAUCCACAUCAAAUUAAAUAUAUUUCUUGAUCAAAUAACAUGGAGAACAACUACAUUUUGUGCAGUAUUAAUUUAACAUCCUUACAACCCACCAUUACUCUAUUGCACAUAGGCUGGCUCAAUUUACCUGUAGAUUUUCCAUCACCAUGAAGAAAAACAAUGCACAAUACAGUAAUUGAGUACAUUGAGGCUGUCACGGCUGUUGAAAGGAGAGGACCAAGACUGCAUUACAGUGCUUGAGGCAUCACUAUAGACCUGGGUUUGAUCCCACGCUGUAUCACAGCUGGCUGUGACAGGGAGACCCAUGAGGCAGUAUACAAUUGGCCCAGCGUCGUCCAGGUUAGGAGAGGGUUUGCCAGGCCGAGAUUUCCUUGUCCGAUCGCGCUGUAGAGACUCCUGUGGCAUAGGGCUAAGUGUGCCAGGUUACCUAAUGGGAACAGCUAACAUUUAGCGUUCUAUCACGUGCAACUAUGUCAACGAUUUUAAUUGACUGAUGCCGAUUUUGAGACUGAGAAAAAGUUUAAGUUCAAACUUUUUCGAAUGUUGUAUAAGUAUGGACCCAUUAUCUUUCGCUAUCGUUGUGUCUGUCAUCCGUUCCAUUUGUUCCAUUUAGAUUGGCAAACAAAUAUGUUGGUCCCAAAAAUGGCUCAUUAUUGUGUUUGAAUAUAUGUGGGGCUUUCACAAGUAUGUAUCCGAUAUCAAGACGCUAUGUAUAUUGUACAUCAGAAUUAUAUGAUGUUCAAGGUUAAGUGUAUUAUAGGCCUAUAUACUGUAUUUGACUGUAAAUGAGACCAGUUUGUGUAUCCUACAGGGCUGGUUCUGUUGUACGUCUGCUUACCUGAUUAAGGUCACAACUUCCUGGGUUACCGUGUUCUCCCUCAUCACAAUGGUGAAUACCAUGGGCCUGGCAGCGUUCCUCAUGUUUGGAGAUGGCAAUUGCGUGGACUUGUGGAAUUUGUCCCAAGUCACACUUGUAUGACUCACAGAGAGACUGCCAUUAACUUUGUGUGUACACACUCCCCUACAUAUUUACAGUGCCUUGCGAAAGUAUUCGGCCCCAUUGAACUUUGCGACCUUUUGCCACA
Long non-coding RNA from Oncorhynchus mykiss (rainbow trout), 2261 nucleotides. RefSeq lists it as uncharacterized. The record is from RefSeq and is a predicted model, not a curated record. Lineage: Eukaryota; Metazoa; Chordata; Actinopteri; Salmoniformes; Salmonidae.